ACUGUAAUAAUAUUCUCUAGUAUUAUUUUCAUCAGCUAUUAGGAAUUUUAAAACCCAUGCUGAACUAAGGAGAUUAAAACCAACCAACCAGCCACUGCUAGCUCUUCCAGCUGGAAACAGUGUGCCUUGCAGUCCUACCAGCAGUUGAUGUGGCCAGUGUUACUCCACCUGAAUGUAAAUGAAGUGUGCCAGGAUAUAAUUUCCCAAGGAAUAAAUCCAGCUACCUGAUACUUCACCCUCCUGACUACAUCAAGGUCAUUGACAAGGCUUUCUUAAAUGUAAUAUGGUACAGUGAUUGCAUCACUACUGAAAGGGGAGGCGGGAUGGACUGAAUUAAAGGAUGCUGUGAAAAAGGUAUUUGGAUCUGAAGAAUGACAGCUGGGUGCAGAAGAAAGACGGUGACUCAGUAAGAACAGAUCAAGCAAAACUGAAGAGCAAAGGAGUGAAGAAAGUAGGAUGUGCUGAAGCCAACAUGUAAGACAGACAAUUGUUCUGUAUCCUAAAUUUAAAGACAAGCUCAUAGGGACCUUCAUCUGUGGAGAUGGUAAGAAGAAAAGGCUCUAUGAGGGAGGUUUUCUCAGCAAGGGUAUACUAGAUGGGGGUGGAAAGGCAAGACAAGCAAGCAAAUGAGAAAAUAAUUGCAUCAGACAAGGUGAAAGGAUAUUUUGGUCCUUGAUUUUGCAAAGGCUUAACAAGAUUUGGCUUGGGAGCUAAAUCUAGCUGUGAUAUGAAUAAAUGACAUGCCAUUUAGAUGCUACCUGCUUCCAUGGCUUGCUCAAUCCCUUCCUGCCUACAGGCAGAGCUGUUUUUGUCCUCUGUAAUCACUGCCAGCCUCAAGCAGCUAUAAUUACCUGUACAUGAUCCAGCACUGUGACUGCUCUGUUUCCGUCCUCUGAAUUUCUUGAGAUUAAGUAAAAUGUAACUGCCAGUGGAUUUCUGUGCUUCUACCAAUACAUAGCAGGUAAAGAUGCCGUGUUGCAAAUGCUAGAGGAAAAAAAAGAUACACUCUGCUAAUUGCAGAUUUCAAAUGGGAGGAGUUGAGACAUUUUCCUCACUUUAAAAUGUCUUUUCAUUAAAUAUAAUAUCAACACUCACUAAAUUGAAGAUCACACUGAACAUAUUUUUCCUUAGAAGAAAAAGGUCAAGAUACCAAUCAGUGAAAAAAGGCCAUAUCUUCUACAUCUCCCACAAAUGCAUCUCC
Molecule: non-coding RNA, 1201 nt
Organism: Agelaius phoeniceus (red-winged blackbird)
Lineage: Eukaryota; Metazoa; Chordata; Aves; Passeriformes; Icteridae
Source: RefSeq, a predicted model, not a curated record